UGAGUAAUAUUGGUCAAUGGGCGAGAGCCUGAACCAGCCAAGUAGCGUGCAGGAUGACGGCCCUAUGGGUUGUCAACUGUUUUUAUAUGGAAUAUAGUGAGGGACGUGUCCCUUAUUGCAUGUACCAUAUGAAUAAGGACUGGCUAAUUCCGUGCCAGCAGCCGCGGUUAUACGGAAGGUCCAGGCGUUAUCCGGAUUUAUUGGGUUUGAGGGGAGCGUAGGCUGUUUGUUAAGCGUGUUGUGAAAUGUAAGCGCUCAACUUGUAGAUUGCAGCGCGAGAUGGAGGACUAGAGUGCGCACAACGUAGGCGGAAUUCAUGGUGGAGCGGUGAAAUGAUUAGAUAACAUGACGAACUCCGAUUGCGAAGACAGCUUACGGGAGCGCAGCAGAAGCUACAGCUCGAAGGAGCGGGUAUCGAACAGA
Molecule: ribosomal RNA, 423 nt
Filed under: Verrucomicrobiota bacterium
Lineage: Bacteria; Pseudomonadati; Verrucomicrobiota
Description: Verrucomicrobia bacterium partial 16S ribosomal RNA
Rfam family: Bacterial small subunit ribosomal RNA
Source: RNAcentral